RNAcentral lists this long non-coding RNA (1462 nucleotides) under Bos indicus x Bos taurus (hybrid cattle). RNAcentral describes it as "lncRNA (ENSBIXG00000005576.1)". The record is from RNAcentral. Lineage: Eukaryota; Metazoa; Chordata; Mammalia; Artiodactyla; Bovidae.
CUGUGAAAAACACUUGGCGAAUGAUAUUCACAAGUGGGACAAUAUUACACAGACCUUUAAGGAUUUAUGUGAUCCCUGGGAUGUUAGUAUACCUCCCCUUUCUUCUUACUCAAGAAUAUCAGUGAGUGAGGAUGAAAUUCUUACAGAAAUAAAUUUGAAUCCUCCAUCUGAAUUUAUUUUUAAGUAAAUCCGUUGACAACAAUUAUUAAUCACAAAGUACUUGUGAACCACUUCCCAAAGAAUCACAAGUGUGCAUGCCACAACAGUGCACUUAGAACCACUGACCCAGCUAGAUUGAAUUCUUCUGAAGUUAUUCACACCUAAUUAUAUGUGAUCUGAAUUUUUAGAAAUUCAUUAUGUAGCUAAAUACCAAUACCCAAAGCCAACCGGUGCCAUAAUUUAAGCACUUAAUUUGCCUUAUUACUCUCAUUUUCUCCUACUUGGCUUCCUUUCUCUCUUCUGUAUGAAAGAUUUGACCAUGGAAGAGGGCAGGGUAGCUGGUUAGCUCCCCUGACAGCAGGUACUUUCCUUUCCGGCAGUUGCCGUGUCUUUCAGCCCACCACUGACAAGCUGUUGAUAUGUGGAAGGAGUACCUCAGGUCGACUGUUCCUGCAGCCAGGCUGCUAGUAGUCAGUCCCACGGAAAGCUUAGCCGUCUCUGCCAGGCCUUCUGGUCCACAGAUGUCUCAGGAGCCCCGCCCUUUUGGUUUGUUGCAGUGGGAUUUGCAAAUGAUCAGCCAGUGCACCAGAGUUGUAACCGACCUUAAGGUGGACUUCCACGAAAGCAAUUGCAAACAUAAUUGGAUCUUUUCUUUAAAACUGGAGUACCUUAUGGACAUGAGUUUGUAUCCUUUGUGGUAAGACAAUUACUAUUUCUUCCUCUCUGACAGUCUGAAACCAGUGUGCAUUGCUACUGCAUGUGCCUACUUUAGCAAAGUCUCCCUGUUAAUAUAGAUUCAGAAUGGCGCCUGGAACUUAGAAAGUUUACAGUAACAUUAAUAUUGCAUGAAGAUAACUGUCACUCACUUACUGUAACCAGAUCAUAAGCUUUGGAUUGUUCCUAGUGAUAAUGAUGAAUGAGUUGUAACCCAUUCAUAUUUGUUCACCUGGUUGCUAUUGUGACUAACCAAAUAUGGACAUUAGUAAGUGGCCCAUCAAGAUUCCUUGCAAAUAGAAGAGUGACAUGAAAUGAUCCAGGAGGGAAUUACACCUCUGUUUUAGGUCCCAUUGGCUCCAUCAAACAAGCAUGGGGCUCAUACGUAUCCCUCCCCCACACCACCACAUACACACACCUUCUUCUCUCUCUCUAAACUCUGACCUCCCCCCAUCUCCCAGUUCAAAAAUAGACCAAGGAUACCACAGAAAACAGACUUCAGUAUGCAAAGCACCCAAGUGAACUGUCAUGUUCUUUAGGAAGGUGGCUUUCUAAAGCAUCUUUCUAGCUUUCAAAUGCUUCAUGACCA